GCGGGAAUAGCUCAGUGGUAGAGCAUCACCUUGCCAAGGUGAGGGUCGCCGGUUCAAAUCCGGUUUCCCGCUCCA
RNAcentral lists this transfer RNA (75 nucleotides) under Bacteroidota bacterium. Its description in RNAcentral is "Bacteroidetes bacterium tRNA-Gly". It matches the Rfam family "tRNA". Rfam says of the family: Transfer RNA (tRNA) molecules are approximately 80 nucleotides in length. Their secondary structure includes four short double-helical elements and three loops (D, anti-codon, and T loops). Lineage: Bacteria; Pseudomonadati; Bacteroidota. The record is from RNAcentral. RNAcentral also lists the same sequence under 1 other name.